Molecule: ribosomal RNA, 429 nt
Filed under: Pseudomonadota bacterium
Lineage: Bacteria; Pseudomonadati; Pseudomonadota
Description: Proteobacteria bacterium partial 16S ribosomal RNA
Rfam family: Bacterial small subunit ribosomal RNA
Source: RNAcentral
UGGGGAAUAUUGGACAAUGGGCGAAAGCCUGAUCCAGCCAUGCCGCGUGUGUGAAGAAGGUCUUCGGAUUGUAAAGCACUUUAAGUUGGGAGGAAGGGCAGUAAGCGAAUACCUUGCUGUUUUGACGUUACCGACAGAAUAAGCACCGGCUAACUCUGUGCCAGCAGCCGCGGUAAUACAGAGGGUGCAAGCGUUAAUCGGAAUUACUGGGCGUAAAGCGCGCGAAGGUGGUUCGUUAAGUUGAAUGUGAAAGCCCCGGGCUCAACCUGGGAACUGCAUCCAAAACUGGCGAGCUAGAGUAGGGCAGAGGGUGGUGGAAUUUCCUGUGUAGCCGUGAAAUGCGUAGAUAUAGGAAGGAACACCAGUGGCGAAGGCGACCACCUGGGCUCAUACUGACACUGAGGUGCGAAAGCGUGUGGAGCAAACAGG